GGAAGUAAAAGUCGUAACAAGUUCUCCGUAGGUGAACCUGCGGAGGGAUCAUUACAGAGUUCAUGCCCUACCGGGUAGAUCUCCCACCCUAUGUUAUUAUUACUUUGUUGCUUUGGCGGGCCGUUAGGCUCCGGCCCGACUACCGGCCCCGGCUGGUAAGCGCCCGCCAGAGGACCCAAAACCCUGAAUAUUAGUGUCGUCUGAGUACUAUAUAAUAGUUAAAACUUUCAACAACGGAUCUCUUGGUUCUG
RNAcentral lists this unclassified non-coding RNA (251 nucleotides) under plant metagenome. Its description in RNAcentral is "partial contains small subunit ribosomal RNA, internal transcribed spacer 1, and 5.8S ribosomal RNA". The stretch from base 1 to 54 matches the Rfam family "Eukaryotic small subunit ribosomal RNA", at positions 1778 to 1831 of the family's 1831-position model. The record is from RNAcentral.